RNA transcript from Ricinus communis (castor bean), 2996 nucleotides. It is a transcript of the gene named chloride channel protein CLC-b, with no coding region annotated. NCBI's taxonomy places the organism in Eukaryota, Viridiplantae, Streptophyta, Magnoliopsida, Malpighiales, Euphorbiaceae. The record is from RefSeq and is a predicted model, not a curated record. The transcript is spliced from 7 exons.
AAACUCUUAUCCUUCUCUUUGACAAUGCCACCAUUGUCAUCACAUUUCUAAAGUGUAUUUCUUGAAUUAUAGUAUUCUAAUAAUUAUUUAUCUGUUCUAGUAAGACAAACUGAAAAGGUUCCACAGAGUGUGUGCAUUAUAAGUUUCUUAAAAUUAAUCUCCACUAAAGAAAAAGUCCCUCCCCUCCCUCCCUUUACUAAUCCAUUUCUAAAGAACUUGUGCGACUUGUGUAAGUUCCAAUGGAGGAGGAUUCAAGCCAAUUAGCAGAAGCAACAGCACCACCCCACACCAUGGAAGCUAGUCAAGAAGAAGAAAGAGACCCGGAAAGCAAUUCGCUUCAGCAGCCACUCCUCAAAAGAAAUAGAACUCUAUCUUCGAGUCCACUAGCCAUUGUUGGAGCUAAAGUUUCGUAUAUAGAGAGCUUGGAUUAUGAGAUCAAUGAAAAUGAUCUUUUCAAGCAUGAUUGGAGAAGUAGAUCCAAUGUCCAAAUUCUGCAGUAUAUAUUCUUGAAAUGGAUUCUUGCCUUUCUUGUUGGACUUUUGACUGGCUUGAUCGCCACCCUUAUCAAUCUUGCAGUUGAGAAUAUCGCUGGUUACAAGCUUCUUGCGGUUGUUCGUUUCAUAGAGAACGAAAGGUACUUAACAGGGUUGGCCUACUUUACUGGGGUUAAUCUUAUUUUAACUGCCUUUGCUUCUGCUUUAUGUGUAUGGUUUGCACCCACCGCUGCUGGCCCUGGUAUUCCGGAGAUUAAAGCUUACCUCAAUGGAAUUGAUACUCCUAACAUGUUUGGAGCUACAACUUUGAUUGUUAAGAUAUUUGGAAGCAUAGGCGCAGUUGCUGCUGGACUAGAUUUGGGGAAAGAAGGGCCUUUGGUGCACAUUGGCAGUUGCAUUGCUUCUUUACUAGGCCAAGGGGGACCUGAUAAUCAUCGUCUCAAGUGGCGCUGGCUUCGCUACUUUAACAAUGACAGGGAUCGUCGGGACAUUAUUACAUGUGGUUCUUCCUCAGGUGUUUGUGCAGCUUUCCGUGCCCCAGUUGGUGGUGUCCUGUUUGCUCUUGAAGAGGUAGCAACAUGGUGGAGGAGUGCACUACUCUGGAGAACUUUCUUCAGCACAGCAGUAGUGGUGGUGAUCCUCAGGGCAUUUAUUGAGAUCUGCAAGUCAGGGAAGUGUGGACUGUUUGGGAAAGGAGGGUUGAUCAUGUUUGAUGUGAGUGAUGUUACGGUCAGCUACCAUGUGAUGGAUAUACUCCCAGUCAUUAUCAUUGGCAUUAUUGGUGGACUUUUGGGAAGCCUGUACAAUUAUCUUCUUCACAAAGUCCUCAGACUCUACAAUCUCAUCAACCAGAAGGGAAAAAUGCAUAAGCUGCUUCUCAGUUUAACUGUCUCACUCUUUACCUCAGUGUGCCUAUACGGUCUUCCGUUUCUUGCUAAAUGCCAACCUUGUGAUCCCUCCGUAACUGAAUUAUGCCCCACUAAUGAUCGGUCAGGCAACUUCAAACAAUUCAACUGUCCAAAAGGCCAUUAUAAUGACCUUGCUACUCUCCUUCUUACCACAAAUGAUGAUGCAGUCCGAAACAUCUUCUCCUCCAACACUCCCCAUGAAUUUCAGCCUGCAACCCUCCUCAUUUUCUUUGCACUCUAUUGCGUCCUAGGAUUAUUUACCUUUGGCAUUGCUGUUCCUUCAGGACUUUUCCUCCCUAUCAUUCUUAUGGGCUCAGCAUAUGGGCGCUUGCUCGGUGUUGCCAUGGGAUCAUAUACCAACCUUGACCAGGGACUGUAUGCAGUGCUUGGUGCAGCCUCACUGAUGGCUGGCUCAAUGAGGAUGACGGUUUCACUGUGUGUUAUUUUCCUGGAACUCACCAACAACCUGCUAUUACUUCCUAUAACAAUGAUAGUCCUCUUGAUAGCUAAAACAGUAGGAGACAGCUUUAAUCCAAGUAUCUAUGAAAUUAUCUUGCACCUAAAAGGCCUGCCUUUCUUGGAUGCAAAUCCUGAGCCUUGGAUGAGAAAUCUCACGGUAGGUGAGCUAGCUGAUGCUAAACCACCAUUAGUUACUCUUUGUGGAGUGGAGAAGGUGUCUCGCAUUGUGGAUGUCCUGAAAAACACCACAUACAAUGGAUUCCCUGUUGUGGAUGAUGGAGUGAUACCUCCUGUGGGACUUGCAACUGGAGCAACAGAACUGCACGGACUUAUCUUAAGAGCUCACCUUGUUCAAGCAAUUAAGAAGAAGUGGUUCCUGCGAGAGAAAAGAAGAACAGAGGAGUGGGAAGUAAGACAGAAGUUCACCUGGGUUGAUCUGGCUGAGAGGGAAUUGAAGAUUGAGGAGGUCGCGGUGACAAGGGAUGAAAUGGAAAUGUAUGUUGACCUGCAUCCUCUUACAAAUACUACACCUUACACAGUGGUGGAGAGCAUGUCAGUGGCAAAAGCUAUGGUGCUCUUCAGGCAAGUAGGGCUUCGCCACUUGCUCAUUGUUCCCAAAUAUGAAGCAUCCGGGGUACCUCCAGUGGUCGGAAUCUUGACCAGACAGGACUUAAGGGCAUACAACAUCUUGAGUGCCUUUCCUCAUUUGGCUAGAUCCAAGGACAGAGAAAAGCGGCACUAAAUUUAUCAUCAUUCACUAAGUGAUAAUACAAGCUUGGAGCUACAAUUUUCCUCGUCUUCCCUUCAUUUUUGCUGGAGUUCCAAAUUCUUUCAUCAGAUUCUACAGGAGAUAGGCCAGCUUGUUGGCCCCUCUUAAAUACAGCCAGAAUCUCAAUGCUGCAACCAUAACCCAGGAUAACCACUAAUCAGACUUCAGACAUCAUGAAAUAAAAAGAAUAUACAGAAAUCCAGUAUUCAUGGGGCAAUCAAUCUGUCCGCACACAGUAUUUGCUCCAUUCAGAAGAUUGGAAAAGGUGCUUUCAUAUUAAUGCUACUCUGUCUGUAUUAGAAGCAAUACUUAUGGAUUAGGAACUUGGUGAUCUGAAUAAUCUAAAAAUUUCUGCCUUAGCGGUUA